GGGGCUAUAGCGCAGCUGGUAGCGCACCUGCUUUGCAAGCAGGGGGUCGCCGGUUCGAACCCGGCUAGCUCCA
Molecule: transfer RNA, 73 nt
Filed under: Candidatus Nutricula glyptotermitis
Lineage: Bacteria; Bacillati; Actinomycetota; Actinomycetes; Bifidobacteriales; Bifidobacteriaceae
Description: tRNA-Ala
Rfam family: tRNA
About the family: Transfer RNA (tRNA) molecules are approximately 80 nucleotides in length. Their secondary structure includes four short double-helical elements and three loops (D, anti-codon, and T loops).
Source: RNAcentral